UUAGAGUUUGAUCCUGGCUCAGGACGAACGCUGGCGGCGUGCCUAAUACAUGCAAGUAGAACGCUGAAGAGAGGAGCUUGCUCUUCUUGGAUGAGUUGCGAACGGGUGAGUAACGCGUAGGUAACCUGCCUUGUAGCGGGGGAUAACUAUUGGAAACGAUAGCUAAUACCGCAUAACAAUGGAUGACACAUGUCAUUUAUUUGAAAGGGGCAAUUGUUCCACUACAAGAUGGACCUGCGUUGUAUUAGCUAGUAGGUGAGGUAAUGGCUCACCUAGGCGACGAUACAUAGCCGACCUGAGAGGGUGAUCGGCCACACUGGGACUGAGACACGGCCCAGACUCCUACGGGAGGCAGCAGUAGGGAAUCUUCGGCAAUGGGGGCAACCCUGACCGAGCAACGCCGCGUGAGUGAAGAAGGUUUUCGGAUCGUAAAGCUCUGUUGUAAGUCAAGAACGGGUGUGAGAGUGGAAAGUUCACACUGUGACGGUAGCUUACCAGAAAGGGACGGCUAACUACGUGCCAGCAGCCGCGGUAAUACGUAGGUCCCGAGCGUUGUCCGGAUUUAUUGGGCGUAAAGCGAGCGCAGGCGGUUUGAUAAGUCUGAAGUUAAAGGCUGUGGCUCAACCAUAGUUCGCUUUGGAAACUGUCAAACUUGAGUGCAGAAGGGGAGAGUGGAAUUCCAUGUGUAGCGGUGAAAUGCGUAGAUAUAUGGAGGAACACCGGUGGCGAAAGCGGCUCUCUGGUCUGUAACUGACGCUGAGGCUCGAAAGCGUGGGGAGCGAACAGGAUUAGAUACCCUGGUAGUCCACGCCGUAAACGAUGAGUGCUAGGUGUUGGAUCCUUUCCGGGAUUCAGUGCCGCAGCUAACGCAUUAAGCACUCCGCCUGGGGAGUACGACCGCAAGGUUGAAACUCAAAGGAAUUGACGGGGGCCCGCACAAGCGGUGGAGCAUGUGGUUUAAUUCGAAGCAACGCGAAGAACCUUACCAGGUCUUGACAUCCCGAUGCUAUUUCUAGAGAUAGAAAGUUACUUCGGUACAUCGGUGACAGGUGGUGCAUGGUUGUCGUCAGCUCGUGUCGUGAGAUGUUGGGUUAAGUCCCGCAACGAGCGCAACCCCUAUUGUUAGUUGCCAUCAUUCAGUUGGGCACUCUAGCGAGACUGCCGGUAAUAAACCGGAGGAAGGUGGGGAUGACGUCAAAUCAUCAUGCCCCUUAUGACCUGGGCUACACACGUGCUACAAUGGUUGGUACAACGAGUUGCGAGUCGGUGACGGCGAGCUAAUCUCUUAAAGCCAAUCUCAGUUCGGAUUGUAGGCUGCAACUCGCCUACAUGAAGUCGGAAUCGCUAGUAAUCGCGGAUCAGCACGCCGCGGUGAAUACGUUCCCGGGCCUUGUACACACCGCCCGUCACACCACGAGAGUUUGUAACACCCGAAGUCGGUGAGGUAACCUUUUGGAGCCAGCCGCCUAAGGUGGGACAGAUGAUUGGGGUGAAGUCGUAACAAGGUAGCCGUAUCGGAAGGUGCGGCUGGAUCACCUCCUU
Molecule: ribosomal RNA, 1542 nt
Filed under: Streptococcus thermophilus
Lineage: Bacteria; Bacillati; Bacillota; Bacilli; Lactobacillales; Streptococcaceae
Description: 16S ribosomal RNA
Rfam family: Bacterial small subunit ribosomal RNA
Source: RNAcentral